UACGGGAGGCAGCAGUGGGGAAUAUUGCACAAUGGGCGAAAGCCUGAUGCAGCUAUGCCGCGUGUAUGAAGAAGGCCUUAGGGUUGUAAAGUACUUUCAUCGGGGAGGAAAAAAACAAAACUAAUAAUUUUAUUUCUUGACGUUACCCGAAAAAGAAGCACCGGCUAACUCCGUGCCAGCAGCCGCGGUAAUACGGAGGGUGCUAGCGUUAAUCAGAAUUACUGGGCGUAAAAGAGCACGUAGGUGGUUUUUUUAAGUCAGAUGUGAAAUCCCUGGGCUUAACCUAGGAACUGCAUUUUGAAACUGAAAUACUAGAGUAUCGUAGAGGGAGGUAGAAUUCUAGGUGUAGCGGUGAAAUGCGUAGAUAUCUGGAGGAAUACCUGUGGCGAAAGCGGCCUCCUAAACGAAUACUGACACUGAGGUGCGAAAAGCGUGGGGAGCAAAACAGGGAUUAGAUACC
This 460-nucleotide ribosomal RNA is filed under the name uncultured bacterium. RNAcentral's name for it is "bacterial SSU rRNA". It matches the Rfam family "Bacterial small subunit ribosomal RNA", at positions 340 to 786 of the family's 1533-position model. The record is from RNAcentral.